Molecule: long non-coding RNA, 277 nt
Organism: Nicotiana attenuata
Lineage: Eukaryota; Viridiplantae; Streptophyta; Magnoliopsida; Solanales; Solanaceae
Exons: 3
Source: RefSeq, a predicted model, not a curated record
GGAGCUUUUGUGCCAGCUAUGGUUCCAAUGUAUUGCAAAUGCGAGAUGCCAUUUAAUCCGGAUGAGUUUAUGGUAAACAAUAUUGAUGAGAAUAGUCAAGUAAAUUCGAUAACUUGGUCUUUCUCUUCUCUUCUCAAUCUCUGUAUUUGGGCUACGGAAAGACUAAUUUUCAUGUCAGGGAUAUAACUUAGAGCCUCAGACAACCAAAUUAAAAGAAAAGGCCAUUUUGAGCCAGAGUAACAAUAAACAAGAAAGAUACAUUUAUGGCAUGCUCGCU